This 347-nucleotide ribosomal RNA is filed under the name Trachydactylus hajarensis. RNAcentral describes it as "partial 12S ribosomal RNA". It matches the Rfam family "Bacterial small subunit ribosomal RNA", at positions 796 to 1341 of the family's 1533-position model. The record is from RNAcentral. Lineage: Eukaryota; Metazoa; Chordata; Lepidosauria; Squamata; Gekkonidae.
CUAGCCCUAAACUUUGAUAGUACUAUUACUAUCCGCCAGAGAAUUACGAGCGAAAAGCUUAAAACUCAAAAGACUUGACGGUGCCCCAAACCAACCUAGAGGAGCCUGUCCUAUAAUCGAUAACCCACGCUUUACCUCACCUGCCCUCGCACUAAUAGGUCAGCCUAUAUACCGCCGCCUUCCCGCCUACCUUACAAAAGCACCACAGCAAGCAAAAUAGCUCUUCGCUAGGACGUCAGGUCAAGGUGUAGCUAAUGGGCAGGAAAGAGAUGGGCUACAUUCUCUACAUAUAUAGAUCACACCCCCGGUAUUAUGAAAACAUGCCUCAAAGGAGGAUUUAGUAGUAA